RNAcentral lists this ribosomal RNA (245 nucleotides) under uncultured bacterium. RNAcentral's name for it is "partial 16S ribosomal RNA". It matches the Rfam family "Bacterial small subunit ribosomal RNA", at positions 524 to 768 of the family's 1533-position model. The record is from RNAcentral.
UACGUAGGGGGCGAGCGUUGUCCGGAGUUACUGGGCGUAAAGGGCAUGCAGGCGGUCCUUCGCGUUUGCAGUGACAGUGCUCGGCUUAACCGAGCAAGGUCUGCGAAGACGGGAGGACUUGAGGGCUUUAGAGGGACACGGAAUUCCGGGUGGAGUGGUGAAAUGCGUAGAGAUCCGGAGGAACACCAAAGGCGAAGGCAGUGUCCUGGGGAGUCACUGACGCUCAGAUGCGAAAGCUAGGGGAG